GACCUCGUGGCGCAAUGGCAGCGCGUCUGACUCCAGAUCAGAAGGUUGCGUGUUCAAGUCACGUCGAGGUCA
This is a transfer RNA of Camelus ferus (Wild Bactrian camel), 72 nucleotides long. It matches the Rfam family "tRNA". Rfam says of the family: Transfer RNA (tRNA) molecules are approximately 80 nucleotides in length. Their secondary structure includes four short double-helical elements and three loops (D, anti-codon, and T loops). The record is from Rfam. NCBI's taxonomy places the organism in Eukaryota, Metazoa, Chordata, Mammalia, Artiodactyla, Camelidae.